RNAcentral lists this ribosomal RNA (727 nucleotides) under uncultured bacterium. RNAcentral describes it as "bacterial SSU rRNA". It matches the Rfam family "Bacterial small subunit ribosomal RNA", at positions 789 to 1515 of the family's 1533-position model. The record is from RNAcentral.
GGUAGUCCACGCCGUAAACGAUGUCGACUUGGAGGUUGUGCCCGUGAGGCGUGGCUUCCGGAGCUAACGCGUUAAGUCGACCGCCUGGGGAGUACGGCCGCAAGGUUAAAACUCAAAUGAAUUGACGGGGGCCCGCACAAGCGGUGGAGCAUGUGGUUUAAUUCGAUGCAACGCGAAGAACCUUACCUACUCUUGACAUCCAGAGAACUUAGCAGAGAUGCUUUGGUGCCUUCGGGAACUCUGAGACAGGUGCUGCAUGGCUGUCGUCAGCUCGUGUUGUGAAAUGUUGGGUUAAGUCCCGCAACGAGCGCAACCCUUAUCCUUUGUUGCCAGCGGUUAGGCCGGGAACUCAAAGGAGACUGCCAGUGAUAAACUGGAGGAAGGUGGGGAUGACGUCAAGUCAUCAUGGCCCUUACGAGUAGGGCUACACACGUGCUACAAUGGCGCAUACAAAGAGAAGCGACCUCGCGAGAGCAAGCGGACCUCAUAAAGUGCGUCGUAGUCCGGAUUGGAGUCUGCAACUCGACUCCAUGAAGUCGGAAUCGCUAGUAAUCGUAGAUCAGAAUGCUACGGUGAAUACGUUCCCGGGCCUUGUACACACCGCCCGUCACACCAUGGGAGUGGGUUGCAAAAGAAGUAGGUAGCUUAACCUUCGGGAGGGCGCUUACCACUUUGUGAUUCAUGACUGGGGUGAAGUCGUAAACAAGGUAACCGUAGGGGAACCUGC